This 497-nucleotide ribosomal RNA is filed under the name uncultured bacterium. RNAcentral describes it as "partial 16S ribosomal RNA". It matches the Rfam family "Bacterial small subunit ribosomal RNA", at positions 28 to 507 of the family's 1533-position model. The record is from RNAcentral.
GAUGAACGCUGGCGGCGUGCCUAAUACAUGCAAGUCGAGCGGACAGGCGAGGUGGUUGCUCCUCGGACGUUAGCGGCGGACGGGUGAGUAACAUGUGGAUAACCUACCUAUAAGACUGGGAUAGCUUCGUGAAGCCGGUGCUAAUACCGGAUAAUAUAUGCAACCGCGGGGUUCAAUAGCGAAAGAGGGUUUGGCUGUAAUUUCUAGAUGGAUCCGCGCCGCUUUAGCAGGUUGGUACGGUAACGGCUUACCAAGGCAACGAUGCGUAGCCGACCUGAGAGGGUGAGCCGGCACAGUGGAACUGAGACACGGUCCAGAGUCCUACGGGAGGCCGCAGUAGGGACGCGUCGGCGAUGGGCGGAAGCUUGACGGAGCAACGCCGCGCGAGUGAUGAAGGUCUUCGGGCCGUAUAACUCUGUUAUGGGGGAAGAACGAAUGUGUAAGUAACUAAGCACGUCGUGACGGUACCUAAUCAGAAAGCACCGGCUAACUACGUG